UUUUUUUUUUUUUUUUUGGAAAUGUUGUCUCGCUCUCUUGCGCAGGCUGAAUUGCAGUGGCACAAUCUGAGUUCACUUCAUCCUCUGCCUCCCAGGUUCAGGAGAUUCUCCUGCCACAGCCUCCUGGGUAGCUGGGACUACAGGUCAGUGCAACUAUGCCAGCCUAAUUUUUGUAUUUUUAUUAGAUACAGGGUUUUGCCAUGUUGGUCAGACGUGUCUCCAACUCCUGACCUCAAGGGAUCCGCCCACCUUGGCUUCCCCAAGUGUUGAGGUUAAGUCACCAUGCCCAGCCUGGAUUGGUUUUUAAGAACUUGAUUUAUACUUGUUUUGUUUUAAAGAAUAGUUUUUUGUGUUUUUAAACUUUUUAAAGUUAAAAAUACUUCACAAGAAACUGGUGAACUUAAAUGACAUUGAAGAUAAUUUACUAUUACUUAACAGUGGGGUGAUCUUUGGGGACUGGUUUAAGGGUAUAAAAUUGAAAAAUUAAUUUGUAACCUGAUAUUAGUAUUCUGAAGCUCUAUCUCUAGUGACUUAGAGAAAUUCUCAAAUCACCAAAUACAAUAAAUAAAUGAAUAUAAAACUAUAGUAGCUCAAUCACUUCUCUAAAGCAUUUUCUAAACUCCAGGAAUUAUGAAAACCACGGAAGAUUCAAAUAUUUUGCUGAACUGGGUCAUAAUGGGAGGUAUCUAUUUAGCCUAUGGGUGCUUUCAACUUUGACUCAGCAAACUAUUGGUAUUCACUUUCUCCGGGGCCUACUCCUCACACCCUCCUAACCCAUUCUUGCUCAAUAUUCUCCUUAACUCUGCAUCUAGCCUUGCUAUCAUAUUACCAAUGAAAUAAUAAUUGAUUUGGAUGUAUUUAUGUAAUACAACGUUCUUAAGUAACUAAUAGCAUUUACUUAGCAUUAAUUGGUCCCUUUCUAUGUACGAAGCACUGUUGUACUUGCUGACACCUACAAUAUUUUUCACAUACUUUAAAAUACAUCAGCAUACACAGUGUGAAAUCAUUUUUGUGUGUUCUUGUUAUUUAGGCCACAAUAUAAAGUACAUACUGCUAGAAUUCUAAUAAAAACGUACAGCACAGGAAUGGUGAGAUAGCAUUUAAAUCGGGAAAGUUCAGCUUGACAGUGUACUAUUACCAGUGCAUCCUGUUAGCCUAACAACUUUCAACAUCAUAAGUAACUCAUCAGUAACAAACUCUUAACUGGGACAAGGAAUAUUAGAAAUGUGUACUUUUAUUUUAUAAAUAAUCUCUGAAAAAGAUAGUCUUCUUAAGCACAAAUGUCAUUUAUUAUGGCAUGCUCAGUCUUUUUCAAUUUUUUACUUUCAAACAAUAUUCUCAAAUAUAUUUAGAAAAAGGUUUUUAAGGCAUACUAUUUCAUUAAUGCUCAUCAUUUGGGAAAAAAACCCAAUUCUAAUACAUGAACAUGAAUUUAUGUUUAUUUUUUAACUGUGGAUUAUC
RNAcentral lists this long non-coding RNA (1461 nucleotides) under Macaca fascicularis (crab-eating macaque). RNAcentral describes it as "lncRNA (ENSMFAG00000053001.1)". Lineage: Eukaryota; Metazoa; Chordata; Mammalia; Primates; Cercopithecidae. The record is from RNAcentral.